RNAcentral lists this non-coding RNA (30 nucleotides) under Mus musculus (house mouse). Lineage: Eukaryota; Metazoa; Chordata; Mammalia; Rodentia; Muridae. The record is from RNAcentral.
UCUAAUGUGCUCUGAAUGGCUAUCGCCUGA